Molecule: ribosomal RNA, 440 nt
Filed under: uncultured bacterium
Lineage: Bacteria
Description: partial 16S ribosomal RNA
Rfam family: Bacterial small subunit ribosomal RNA
Source: RNAcentral
CCUACGGGAGACAGCAGUAGGGAAUAGUGCUCAAUGGGGGAAACCCUGAAGCAGCAACGCCGCGUGGAGGAUGAAGGUUUUCGGAUUGUAAACUCCUUUUGUUAGAGAAGAGAAUGACGGUAUCUAACGAAUAAGCACCGGCUAACUCCGUGCCAGCAGCCGCGGUAAUACGGAGGGUGCAAGCGUUACUCGGAAUCACUGGGCGGAAAGAGCGCGUAGGCGGGAUAGCAAGUCAGAUGUGAAAUCCUAUGGCUUAACCAUAGAACUGCAUUUGAAACUGUUAUUCUAGAGUAUGGGAGAGGUAGGUUGCAUUCUUGGUGUCGGGGUCACAUCCGUAGAGAUCACGAGGAAUACUCAUUGCGCCGGCGACCUGCUAGAACAUACCUGACGCUGAUGCGCGAACGCGUGGGGAGCAAACAGGAUUAGAUCCCCCAGUAGUC